GGAUGUGAAGGCGAUCUGGCUGCGACAUCUGUCACCCCAUUGAUCGCCAGGGUUGAUUCAGCUGAUCUGGCUGGCUAGGCGGGUGUCCCCUUCCUCCCUGACAGCCAUGUGCAUACCUCCCAAAGCUGCGCGCUGGGUCGAAGAAGACGGCCAUCCCCCAUAGAGGAGAACCGGUCUUCGGUCAAGAGUAUGCCAGUAGCUGCAUUCCCCUGCUAGAACCUCCAAACAAGCUCUCAAGAUUUGCAGUACAGAAAACUAAGAGAAACAAAACAAAAACAAAAAGAAUGAACUGCCUACAGGGUCUAAUAAGAACUUCUUGUUU
Unclassified non-coding RNA from Dipodomys ordii (Ord's kangaroo rat), 322 nucleotides. Its record names the gene 7SK. It matches the Rfam family "7SK RNA". Rfam says of the family: 7SK was discovered as an abundant small nuclear RNA in the mid-70s but a possible function has only recently been suggested. The record is from Ensembl. Lineage: Eukaryota; Metazoa; Chordata; Mammalia; Rodentia; Heteromyidae.